This 4575-nucleotide ribosomal RNA is filed under the name Triticum aestivum (bread wheat). RNAcentral describes it as "partial small subunit ribosomal RNA". Lineage: Eukaryota; Viridiplantae; Streptophyta; Magnoliopsida; Poales; Poaceae. The record is from RNAcentral.
AUGGGAACUCCAGCUAACAUCAUUGUUGGUUCUCAUGUUUGGGUGGAGGAUCCAACUCUAGCAUGGAUAGAUGGCGAGGUUGUCAGCAUAAAAAACAAUGAAGUUCAUGUGCAGACAUCAAAUGGGAAAAAGGUUACUACAGACAGAUCAAAAGUUUUUCCCAAGGAUAUGGAAGCUCCACCAGGAGGAGUGGAUGAUAUGACAAGAUUAUCAUACUUACACGAGCCUGGGGUUCUACAGAAUCUUGCUACGCGUUAUGAACUGAAUGAAAUAUAUACUUACACUGGUAGCAUUUUGAUUGCGGUAAAUCCGUUUCAAAGAUUACCGCAUCUUUAUGAUACCCACAUGAUGGAACAAUACAAGGGUGCAGAUUUUGGGGAGCUGAGUCCACACGUCUUUGCAAUUGCUGACGUUGCUUAUAGGGAAAUGAUAAAUGAAGGGAAAAACAACUCUAUUUUAGUCAGUGGUGAAAGUGGUGCUGGCAAGACUGAAACAACAAAGAUGCUUAUGAGAUAUCUAGCACACUUAGGUGGACGAUCUGGAGUAGAAGGGCGAACUGUAGAGCAACAAGUUCUAGAGUCAAAUCCAGUCCUUGAAGCUUUUGGUAACGCAAAAACUGUGAGGAACAAUAACUCGAGUCGCUUUGGCAAGUUUGUGGAGAUCCAAUUUGACAAGACUGGACGAAUCUCGGGAGCUGCUAUAAGAACUUACUUGCUGGAAAGAUCCCGCGUAUGCCAAAUAAAUACUCCGGAAAGAAAUUAUCAUUGCUUCUAUUUUCUUUGUGCGGCACCACCUGAGGAUACCCAAAGGUAUAAGUUGGCUGAUGCUAGAUCUUUUCACUACCUCAAUCAGUCAAGCUGUAUUGAGGUUGAAGGAAUUAAUGACGCGGAAGAGUAUUUAGCAACACGGAGGGCCAUGGACAUAGUUGGAAUCAAUGAGGAAGAACAGGAAGCUAUAUUCCGGGUUGUAGCAGCUGUACUUCAUAUUGGAAAUAUAAAUUUCGCCAAGGGAAAAGAAGUUGAUUCAUCUGUGAUUCAGGAUGAUAACUCGAGGUUUCACCUUAACACUGCAUCAGAGCUAUUGGAGUGUGAUUGCAAUAAUUUGGAGAAGGCACUGAUAACACGAGAAAUAGUUACUCCUGAAGAAAUAAUUACUAGAACACUUGAUCCUGAGUCGGCACUUGCUAGCAGAGAUGCAUUAGCCAAAACAAUAUACUCCCGAUUGUUUGAUUGGAUCGUGGAAAAAAUUAAUGUCUCCAUUGGACAAGACCCAAACUCUAAACAACUGAUUGGUGUUCUUGAUAUCUAUGGAUUCGAGAGUUUCAAAAUUAACAGUUUUGAACAGUUAUGCAUCAAUUAUACAAAUGAAAAGCUGCAGCAACAUUUUAAUCAGCAUGUGUUCAAAAUGGAGCAAGAGGAAUAUACUAGGGAGGAGAUAAACUGGAGUUACAUAGAGUUUGUUGAUAAUCAAGAUGUGCUAGACUUGAUUGAGAAGAAAGGUGGAUUGAUUGCGCUUCUGGAUGAAGCAUGUAUGUUUCCCAGAUCAACACAUGAGACAUUUGCACAGAAGCUGUAUACAACAUUUAAGAAUAACAAGCGAUUCGUCAAACCAAAGCUUUCACGUACAGACUUUACAGUUGUCCAUUAUGCUGGCGAUGUGACAUACCAGGCUGAUCAUUUCUUAGACAAGAACAAAGAUUAUGUAGUGGCGGAACAUCAGGAUUUGCUGAAUGCUUCUUCAUGUCCUUUUGUAGCUAGUUUAUUCCCUUCACUCCCUGAAGAAUCAUCAAAGUCUUCAAAAUUUUCAUCUAUUGGGUCACGUUUUAAGCUGCAACUUCAGUCUCUCAUGGAGACCUUGAGCUCUACUGAACCCCAUUAUAUUAGAUGUGUGAAGCCAAACAAUCUCCUCAAGCCAGCCAUUUUUGAGAACACAAAUGUUAUACAACAACUACGAUGUGGAGGUGUUCUUGAAGCUAUCAGGAUAAGCUGUGCUGGAUACCCCACAAGAAAAACAUUCUAUGAAUUUGUUAAUCGCUUUGGUGUUCUUGGCCCUGAACUUCUAGAAGGAAGUAACGACGAUAAGAUUGCAUGCCAAAAGAUUCUGGAAAAAAUGAAGUUGGAGAACUACCAGAUAGGAAAAACAAAGGUAUUCCUGAGAGCUGGACAAAUGGCUGAUUUGGAUGCACGGAGGGCAGAAGUGUUAGGGAAAGCAGCAAGAAUUAUACAGAGACUAAUGCGUACAUAUAUUGCACGGAAACAGUUUGUUUUGGUUAGAAGAUCAGCAACGCAUCUACAAUCUUUUGUUAGAGGGACCUUGGUUCGUAAUUUGUACGAAUGCAUGAGGCGAGAAGCAGCAGCAGUCAAAAUACAAAAAAAUGUGCGUCGUCACAAAGCACGCGAAUCUUAUUUACUACUGCAAGCAGCUACAGUCACGCUGCAAACUGGCUUAAGGGCAAUGUCUGCUCGCAAAGAAUUCAGAUUCAGAAAGGAAACUAAAGCAGCUGUCCAUAUCCAAGCUCGAUGGCGCUGCCACAGAGACUAUUCACAUUACAAGAAUAUGCAGCGAGCAGUUCUUACUUACCAGUGUGCGUGGAGACAAAGGCUUGCAAGAAGAGAGCUCAGAAAUCUCAAGAUGGCCGCAAGAGAAACUGGAGCCCUCAAAGAGGCCAAAGAUAAGCUUGAGAAGCGCGUUGAAGAGUUAACAUGGCGCUUAGGACUGGAGAAGCGAUUAAGGACUGACCUUGAGGAAGCAAAAGCUCAGGAAAUUGCUAAGCUGCAAGAAACAUUGCAUGACCUACAGCUUCAAGUUGAAGAAGCAAAGACCAUGGCCACUAAGGAAAGAGAAGCAGCGAGAAAGGCAAUUGAAGAAGCACCUCCAGUAAUCAAAGAGACUCCUGUAUUGGUCGAAGACACUGAAAAAGUUAACUCGCUAACAGCUGAAGUUGAUCAACUGAAGGCUUUGCUGCAAACUGAAAGGCAAGCCACAGAGACUGCAAAGAAAGAACAUGCUGAAGCUGAACGGAGAAAUGAAGAACUAAUGAAGAAAUUCGAAGGCGCAGAGAAAAAGAUUGAGCAACUUCAGGACACUGCCCAGAGGCUGGAAGAGAAAGCAACUAACAUGGAGUCAGAGAACAAGGUGCUUCGUCAACAGGCUGUUGCAAUUUCUCCUACUGCGAAAGCAUUAGCUGCCUAUCCCAAGUCUCCUUUCCAACUGAGAACUCCGGAGAUUGUGAAUGCUCCGAAUGGGGAGGAUGUAACCCCCAUCUCACUGAAUCUCAAAGAGCUUGAGGCUGAGGAGAAGCCUCAAAAAUCACUUAACGAGAAGCAACAGGAAAACCAAGACCUGCUAAUCAAGUGUGUAUCACAAGAUUUGGGAUUCUCCAGUGGUAGGGCUAUUGCAGCUUGUGUUAUAUACAGGUGUCUUCUGCACUGGAGAUCAUUUGAAGUUGAAAGAACUGGUGUUUUUGACCGUAUUAUUCAAACAAUAGGCUCUGCUAUAGAGGUCCAGGACAAUGACGACAAGUUAGCGUAUUGGCUCUCCAAUUCAUCCACAUUACUCCUACUUCUGCAACGGACACUGAAAACGACUGGAGCAGCUGGACUCACUCCUCAGAGGCGAAGGUCAACUGCUGCAUCGUUUGGGAGGGUUUUUUCGGGAAUUCGAGCUUCACCACAAAGUGCUGCGCGACCUUUUCUUGGUAGCCGCUUGAUUGGAGGACUAGGUGAUCUUCGUCAAGUUGAAGCCAAGUAUCCUGCUCUGCUUUUCAAGCAACAACUUACAGCUUUCCUCGAGAAGAUAUAUGGAAUGAUUAGAGACAAUCUGAAGAAAGAGAUAUCUCCAUUGCUUGGUCUUUGCAUCCAGGCACCAAGAACAUCUCGUGCAAGUUUGAUAAAAGGAUCUCGUUCUCAAGCAAAUGCCUUGGCCCAACAAACUCUGAUCGCACAUUGGCAGAGUAUUGUGAAAAUAUUAACAAACUACCUGAAUGUUUUGAAAGCCAAUUAUGUCCCUUCAUUCUUAAUCAGCAAGGUGUUCACUCAGAUAUUUUCGUUUAUUAAUGUCCAGCUGUUCAAUAGUCUUCUCCUCCGACGUGAGUGCUGUUCAUUUAGCAACGGAGAAUAUGUCAAAGCUGGAUUGGCUGAGUUAGAGCAGUGGUGCAUUUAUGCCACUGAAGAGUAUGCAGGUUCUUCCUGGGAAGAGUUGAAGCAUAUUAGGCAGGCCGUUGGAUUCCUUGUAAUUCAUCAAAAGCCAAAGAAAACAUUGAAAGAAAUCACCAACGAUUUGUGCCCUGUCCUUAGCAUACAACAGCUAUAUCGAAUCAGUACAAUGUAUUGGGAUGACAAAUAUGGCACCCACACUGUUUCGUCAGAGGUCAUCUCAAGUAUGAGAAUAAUGAUGACAGAAGACUCGAACAAUGCAGUGAGCAGUUCUUUCUUGUUGGAUGACGAUUCAAGCAUUCCAUUCUCGGUGGAUGACAUCUCAAAGUCAAUGACAGAAAUCGAGGUAACGGACGUUGAUAUGCCACCUUUGAUCCGGGAGAAUUCUGGAUUUACUUUCCUACACCAAAGAAAGGACUAA